Molecule: ribosomal RNA, 443 nt
Filed under: uncultured bacterium
Lineage: Bacteria
Description: partial 16S ribosomal RNA
Rfam family: Bacterial small subunit ribosomal RNA
Source: RNAcentral
CCUACGGGAGGCAGCAGUGGGGAAUAUUGGACAAUGGGGGGAACCCUGAUCCAGCGACGCCGCGUGAGUGAAGAAGUAUUUCGGUAUGUAAAGCUCUAUCAGCAGGGAAGAAAGAAAUGACGGUACCUGACUAAGAAGCCCCGGCUAACUACGGGCCAGCAGCCGCGGUAAUACGUAGGGGGCAAGCGUUAUCCGGAUUUACUGGGUGUAAAGGGAGCGUAGACGGCGAUGCAAGUCUGAAGUGAAAGGCGGGGGCCCAACCCCCGGACUGCUUUGGAAACGGUCUGGCUUGAGUGUAGGAGCGGUAAGUGGACUUCCUAGUGUAGCGGUUCACUUCGUCGAUAUUAGGAGGCACCCCAGUGGCGCCGGCGGCUUACUGGACUGUACCUGCCGUUGCGGCUCGACAGCGUGGGGAGCAAACAGGAUUAGAUCCCCGAGUAGUC